Molecule: non-coding RNA, 77 nt
Organism: Potamilus streckersoni
Lineage: Eukaryota; Metazoa; Mollusca; Bivalvia; Unionida; Unionidae
Source: the annotation of a GenBank genome assembly
GCUCCGAUGGUCUAGUGGUUAUAGCGUUCGCUCAGGAUGCGAAAGGUCGCAGGUUCGAACCUCGGCCGGUCAUAACA